CAGUGUGAAUGGGAACACAUUUCCUCCAAUAAUGUUCACAGAUUCCCAACUUACUUUCAUGUUUGCAAAAUGUGUAUUUGAAAAGGCACAAGUUUGUCAAAAGAUACAGCUCCUGAAUGACCAGUGCUUUAGUCCAUGGGAGUAAAUUUGAGCAAGUUUAGAAACUGGCAAAAAUGGGAAUAGCUUGAACAAUGUUCACAUUUGACAGCUGUUUGUUUUGUGCAAUUUUCCAGUUCAUGGAAAAUCAACCGCAAACAUAAACUCAGGCAGUGGAGUGGAGUUAUGCCCGCCAGGCCCAGCACCAACAAGUAGAAGGACAAGAAUGUCUUGCCUGCAGUUGACUCACUGCUGCUGCUGCUGCAACUCUACCACCACGGGACAAAGUAUUGCUGGGACGGAGGGUGCAAUCAAGUUUCUCUGAAUGUUGCAGCUCCACGGAUAUUUGUGGUCAGCCUAAGAGUGAACCUUUGUUUUCUCUCACUUAAACGACGUGAAAUAAAUUCUCAGAAAUCAACAAUGGGAACUGUGAACUGGUCAUUCAUAAUGCUGUACAUAAAUGUCUCGUGUAGGGCUU
Varanus komodoensis (Komodo dragon) is the source of this 574-nucleotide long non-coding RNA. RefSeq lists it as uncharacterized. Lineage: Eukaryota; Metazoa; Chordata; Lepidosauria; Squamata; Varanidae. The record is from RefSeq and is a predicted model, not a curated record. The transcript has 3 exons.